Molecule: non-coding RNA, 818 nt
Organism: Punica granatum (pomegranate)
Lineage: Eukaryota; Viridiplantae; Streptophyta; Magnoliopsida; Myrtales; Lythraceae
Source: RefSeq, a predicted model, not a curated record
UGCUGCCGACAUAAAAGGAAGAGAAAAUUCAUCAGCCACAACCUCGAAAACCCUAAAGUUUGCCCUAGCCUCUUAAGCAAGUGAAACCUCAAAGACAACAGAGCAAAGUAAACGACUGCGAAAAUCUCUCAACCUCGGUCUUAUGUUCGGCCUUCCAUGAAGAGAAUCAAUGGAGAUUCAAUUUCUGAAACACCUCACAACAAUCCAAGCAUCUUUCCAACCGGUCAACAUUUGAAGAGACAGAGCAAAUGAGAUGAACGAAGAAAAGUAAUCAGGGAGGACUGUACGUAUCAGAAUUUUCGAAAUCAUGAUCGAGAUGAAGAAUAUCUAAGAGAAAGGGCAAUUCUCACCCCAGUGAAUGAUAGUGUAGACGAAAUCAAUGACUACAUUUCUCAUCUUCUUCAAGGGACAAGCAGGGAAUACAUAAGUUCAAAUGGGAUCGACCGGGCAUUAGAGAAUAUCGCCAAUCAAGAAAUUAUGCGCGUCCUAUUGAAUUUCUAAAUACUCUUAAUCUCUCGGGAAUUCCAAAUCAUUGUCUGCAACUGAAAGAAAGAAUGCCAAUUAUGCUUCUCAGGAACAUCAACCCUGCAUUAGGAAUGUGUAACGGAACAAGACUCAUCAUCACGUAGUUGGGGACUUGGAUAAUUGAAGCAAAGAUAAUUAGCGGAACCAAUAUUGGUGCAAAAGUGCUCAUCCCGCGAAUAGUUUUGACAACAAAGAACUCCAAGUGGCCUUUUGUUUUGCGGAGGAAACAAUUCCCACUAUAGGUUUGCUAUGCAAUGACCAUAAAUAAAAAGUCAAGGUCACUCUUUGAAUUC